Molecule: ribosomal RNA, 433 nt
Filed under: uncultured bacterium
Lineage: Bacteria
Description: partial 16S ribosomal RNA
Rfam family: Bacterial small subunit ribosomal RNA
Source: RNAcentral
AACGAACGCUGGCGGCAUGCCUAACACAUGCAAGUCGAACGAGACCUUCGGGUCUAGUGGCGCACGGGUGCGUAACGCGUGGGAACCUGCCCUUAGGUUCGGAAUAACUCCCCGAAAGGGGUGCUAAUACCGGAUAAUGUCUUCGGACCAAAGAUUUAUCGCCUUUGGAUGGGCCCGCGUUGGAUUAGCUAGUUGGUAGGGUAAAAGCCUACCAAGGCGACGAUCCAUAGCUGGUCUGAGAGGAUGAUCAGCCACACUGGGACUGAGACACGGCCCAGACUCCUACGGGAGGCAGCAGUGGGGAAUAUUGGACAAUGGGCGAAAGCCUGAUCCAGCAAUGCCGCGUGAGUGAUGAAGGCCUUAGGGUUGUAAAGCUCUUUUACCCGGGAUGAUAUUGACAAUACCGGGAGAAUAAGCUCCGGCUAACUCCGUG